RNAcentral lists this ribosomal RNA (445 nucleotides) under uncultured bacterium. RNAcentral describes it as "partial 16S ribosomal RNA". It matches the Rfam family "Bacterial small subunit ribosomal RNA", at positions 354 to 796 of the family's 1533-position model. The record is from RNAcentral.
GUGAGGAAUAUUGGUCAAUGGACGAGAGUCUGAACCAGCCAAGUCGCGUGAAGGAAGACGGUUCUAUGAAUUGUAAACUUCUUUUGUGCAGGAAUAAAGUGGGUUACGUGUAACCUUUUGUAUGUACUGUACGAAUAAGGAUCGGCUAACUCCGUGCCAGCAGCCGCGGUAAUACGGAGGAUCCGAGCGUUAUCCGGAUUUAUUGGGUUUAAAGGGUGCGUAGGUGGAUUGAUAAGUCAGCGGUGAAAGUUUGCAGCUUAACUGUAAAAUUGCCGUUGAAACUGUCGGUCUUGAGUGCAAAUGAGGUAGGCGGAAUGUGUUGUGUAGCGGUGAAAUGCUUAGAUAUUACACAGAACACCAAUUGCGUAGGCAGCUUACUGAGCCGACACUGACGCUGAGGCACGAAAGCGUGGGGAUCGAACAGGAUUAGAAACCCCAGUAGUCC